GCUGGGGAUAACAUUUGGAAACAGAUGCUAAUACCGAAUAAAACUUAGUGUCGCAUGACAAAAAGUUAAAAGGCGCUUCGGCGUCACCUAGAGAUGGAUCCGCGGUGCAUUAGUUAGUUGGUGGGGUAAAGGCCUACCAAGACAAUGAUGCAUAGCCGAGUUGAGAGACUGAUCGGCCACAUUGGGACUGAGACACGGCCCAAACUCCUACGGGAGGCUGCAGUAGGGAAUCUUCCACAAUGGGCGAAAGCCUGAUGGAGCAACGCCGCGUGUGUGAUGAAGGCUUUCGGGUCGUAAAGCACUGUUGUAUGGGAAGAACAGCUAGAAUAGGAAAUGAUUUUAGUUUGACGGUACCAUACCAGAAAGGGACGGCUAAAUACGUGCCAGCAGCCGCGGUAAUACGUAUGUCCCGAGCGUUAUCCGGAUUUAUUGGGCGUAAAGCGAGCGCAGACGGUUUAUUAAGUCUGAUGUGAAAGCCCGGAGCUCAACUCCGGAAUGGCAUUGGAAACUGGUUAACUUGAGUGCAGUAGAGGUAAGUGGAACUCCAUGUGUAGCGGUGGAAUGCGUAGAUAUAUGGAAGAACACCA
This 587-nucleotide ribosomal RNA is filed under the name Leuconostoc sp. THK-O34. RNAcentral describes it as "bacterial SSU rRNA". It matches the Rfam family "Bacterial small subunit ribosomal RNA", at positions 136 to 711 of the family's 1533-position model. The record is from RNAcentral. Lineage: Bacteria; Bacillati; Bacillota; Bacilli; Lactobacillales; Lactobacillaceae.